UACGGAUGGUGCAAGCGUUACUCGUAAUCACUGGGCGGAAAGGAUGCGUAGGCUGGAAAUCAAGUCGAGAGUGCAAUCCAACGGCUCAACCGUUGAACUGCUCUCGAAACUGGUUACCUAGAAUAUGGGAGAGGUAGAUGGAAUUAGUGGUGUAGGGGUAACAUCCGUAGAUAUCACUAGGAAUAACGAUUGCGAAGGCGAUCUAAUGGAACAUUAUUGACGCGGAGGCAUGCAAUCGUGGGGAGCCCACAGGCGGCGAUCACACUGGAGUCC
This 273-nucleotide ribosomal RNA is filed under the name uncultured bacterium. Its description in RNAcentral is "partial 16S ribosomal RNA". It matches the Rfam family "Bacterial small subunit ribosomal RNA", at positions 524 to 796 of the family's 1533-position model. The record is from RNAcentral.